RNAcentral lists this long non-coding RNA (302 nucleotides) under Vigna radiata. RNAcentral describes it as "long non-coding RNA (VRAD_LNC008300)". The record is from RNAcentral. Lineage: Eukaryota; Viridiplantae; Streptophyta; Magnoliopsida; Fabales; Fabaceae.
UAGGUUGCCUCCUAGUAGCGCUUGUUUAACGUCACGAGCCUGACCCAAACCUGUUUAGCACUCAUCAGUAAAUGCAUACCUUUCCAACACCCAUCAGUAGGUGUACCUCCCUGUAUCCUUCAGUAGAUACCUAAAUCUUCUAGCAUCCCUCAGUAGAUGCUAUCCCAGUAGCAUUCAUCAGUAAACACUGAUCUUUCUAAUCUUCAUUGGCAUCCAUUAGUAAAUGCCAUAUCACCUAACAUCCAUCAGUAGAUGUUGUAGAAGCAUCCAUCAGUAGAUGUUAUCAUCACUGCCAUCAGAAG